RNAcentral lists this transfer RNA (72 nucleotides) under Sus scrofa (pig). It matches the Rfam family "tRNA". Rfam says of the family: Transfer RNA (tRNA) molecules are approximately 80 nucleotides in length. Their secondary structure includes four short double-helical elements and three loops (D, anti-codon, and T loops). Further hydrogen bonds mediate the characteristic L-shaped molecular structure. tRNAs have two regions of fundamental functional importance: the anti-codon, which is responsible for specific mRNA codon recognition, and the 3' end, to which the tRNAs corresponding amino acid is attached (by aminoacyl-tRNA synthetases). tRNAs cope with the degeneracy of the genetic code in two manners: having more than one tRNA (with a specific anti-codon) for a particular amino acid; and 'wobble' base-pairing, i.e. permitting non-standard base-pairing at the 3rd anti-codon position. The record is from Rfam by way of RNAcentral. Lineage: Eukaryota; Metazoa; Chordata; Mammalia; Artiodactyla; Suidae.
UCCCUGGUGGUCUAAUGGUUAGGGUAUGGUGCUUACACCGCUGAGGCCCAGGUUCAAUACCUGCUCUGGGAA